Molecule: unclassified non-coding RNA, 297 nt
Filed under: Hevea brasiliensis (rubber tree)
Lineage: Eukaryota; Viridiplantae; Streptophyta; Magnoliopsida; Malpighiales; Euphorbiaceae
Source: RNAcentral
UUUUUUUGUCUAUGCCAUUUGGAAAGUUCCUUCUAGUCUAUUUUUGAGCUCACCAAUUAAAGGUGCUUGAAGAGGCUGUAUAGAGCUAAUAAAGUGAUUAUAUUUGGUCUUGUUCUGCGGUAAUCAAGUCCAUUAUGCCAUCACUUGACACGGCACAACAAGGGGGCUGAGCGAUCAGUUCAGUUCUGGGAACAUUCUUUAAUAAACAAAGUUGAUUUGCAUGACAAUGAUUGAAUGGUAAUCUCAAUUUGAGAUUAUUAAAGGUGGUGGCAGCAUGGUCAGUGAUAAGGAAAAGCC